Molecule: long non-coding RNA, 502 nt
Organism: Scylla paramamosain (green mud crab)
Lineage: Eukaryota; Metazoa; Arthropoda; Malacostraca; Decapoda; Portunidae
Exons: 2
Source: RefSeq, a predicted model, not a curated record
AUCAGUGGUAUAGCAGCCGCACACACCUUGCUGGAUUUAAACCUGUGGAUUUAUUCCCUGUGAGCGCCAGAGAUUGGUUAUGGUGUUGAGGUGGUGAUGGUGGGUGCGGUGAGCGGCGGGGGCAGCAGCGAGGGGCGCCGCCCCCGGGGUGCUGCCCCCCACAGCUCCAGCAGCAGCUCUAGAGCCCACAAGUCCCGUGGGACCCCUUUCCCCAGGCCCCUGGGACUCGCCACCCUCGUCCUCGUCUUGGCCGCCUUCGCCCGAGCUGAACAAGGUAAGCACCGUCAGUGUUCGCCCCGGUUCCUGCUGGGGCGCCCUCCCCGCCUUGUGUUAUACUUGUUUAAUUGCUUCGGCUGGCCGUCGUCGCGAGCGGCGUGCUUUCUCCUUGAGCCGCGGCCCCGCACGACGCCAGCCGCGUAUUGCAGCGACCUGUUGCAAAACAAUGUGUCGUUAGCGUCUUCCUGCGGCCGCCGAAUUUCGCUUGUGCUCAUGACUGUGAUAA